Molecule: ribosomal RNA, 476 nt
Filed under: uncultured bacterium
Lineage: Bacteria
Description: partial 16S ribosomal RNA
Rfam family: Bacterial small subunit ribosomal RNA
Source: RNAcentral
AUGCACGCUGGCGGCGUGCCUAACACAUGCAAGUCGAACGAAGCACCUUACCUGAUUCUUCGGAUGAAAGUUUGGUGACUGAGUGGCGGACGGGUGAGUAACGCGUGGGUAACCUGCCCUGUACGGGGGGAUAACAGCUGGAAACGGCUGCUAAUACCGCAUAAGCGCACGAGGAGACAUCUCCUUGUGUGAAAAACUCCGGUGGUACAGGAUGGGCCCGCGUCUGAUUAGCUGGUUGGCAGGGUAACGGCCUACCAAGGCAACGAUCAGUAGCCGGUCUGAGAGGAUGAACGGCCACAUUGGAACUGAGACACGGUCCAAACUCCUACGGGAGGCAGCAGUGGGGAAUAUUGCACAAUGGGGGAAACCCUGAUGCAGCAACGCCGCGUGAGUGAAGAAGUAUUUCGGUAUGUAAAGCUCUAUCAGCAGGGAAGAUAAUGACGGUGCCUGACUAAGAAGCUCCGGCUAAAUACGUG